GAUUUCUGGUUUGGUGCGCCUGGUCCGCCCCGAUUUAGGUGUGUGAGUACCGGUGCGCGCCUACCAUCCUUCUGGGGAGCGACGCUACCCUUCACUGGGCUGGUGUCGCGACCUAGAUCGUUUACUUUGAAAAAAUUAGAGUGUUUAAAGCAGGCUUAUUGCUCUGAAUACAUUAGCAUGGAAUAAUAAGAUAGGACUUUGGUUCUAUUUUGUUGGUUUCUAGGACUGAAGUAAUGAUUGAUAGGGACAGUUGGGGGUGCUAGUAUUCAGCGGCCAGAGGUGAAAUUCUUGGAUUCGCUGAAGACUAACUUAUGCGAAAGCAUU
RNAcentral lists this ribosomal RNA (324 nucleotides) under uncultured Allantion. RNAcentral describes it as "SSU rRNA". The stretch from base 104 to 324 matches the Rfam family "Eukaryotic small subunit ribosomal RNA", at positions 734 to 955 of the family's 1831-position model. Lineage: Eukaryota; Cercozoa; Glissomonadida. The record is from RNAcentral. RNAcentral also lists the same sequence under 1 other name.